GACGAACGCUGGCGGCGUGCUUAACACAUGCAAGUCAAGGAGAAAGUUCCUUUCGGGGAAUGUGUAAACUGGCGCACGGGUGAGUAAUAUAUAAGCAAUCUACCUAUGGGUUCGGAAUAACGUCGAGAAAUCGGCGCUAAUACCGUAUAAUGCAGCGGCAUCGCAUGGUGAUGUUGUUAAAGUUUAAUUAACGCCUAUAGAUGAGCUUGUAUCUGAUUAGCUAGUUGGUGAGGUAAAGGCUCACCAAGGCGACGAUCUGUAGCGGGUCUGAGAGGAUGAUCCGCCACACUGGAACUGAGACACGGUCCAGACACCUACGGGAGGCUG
This 327-nucleotide ribosomal RNA is filed under the name uncultured Chlorobiota bacterium. Its description in RNAcentral is "bacterial SSU rRNA". It matches the Rfam family "Bacterial small subunit ribosomal RNA", at positions 28 to 351 of the family's 1533-position model. The record is from RNAcentral. Lineage: Bacteria; Pseudomonadati; Chlorobiota.